GGCAGGGUAGCUCAACGGUGGAGCAUUAGACUCAUAAUCUAACGGUUGAGGGUUCAAGCCCCUCCCUUGCC
This 71-nucleotide transfer RNA is filed under the name Pseudomuriella schumacherensis. RNAcentral's name for it is "tRNA-Met". It matches the Rfam family "tRNA". Rfam says of the family: Transfer RNA (tRNA) molecules are approximately 80 nucleotides in length. Their secondary structure includes four short double-helical elements and three loops (D, anti-codon, and T loops). Further hydrogen bonds mediate the characteristic L-shaped molecular structure. tRNAs have two regions of fundamental functional importance: the anti-codon, which is responsible for specific mRNA codon recognition, and the 3' end, to which the tRNAs corresponding amino acid is attached (by aminoacyl-tRNA synthetases). tRNAs cope with the degeneracy of the genetic code in two manners: having more than one tRNA (with a specific anti-codon) for a particular amino acid; and 'wobble' base-pairing, i.e. permitting non-standard base-pairing at the 3rd anti-codon position. Lineage: Eukaryota; Viridiplantae; Chlorophyta; Chlorophyceae; Sphaeropleales; Pseudomuriellaceae. The record is from RNAcentral.